RNAcentral lists this ribosomal RNA (321 nucleotides) under uncultured Pseudomonadota bacterium. Its description in RNAcentral is "bacterial SSU rRNA". It matches the Rfam family "Bacterial small subunit ribosomal RNA", at positions 30 to 351 of the family's 1533-position model. Lineage: Bacteria; Pseudomonadati; Pseudomonadota. The record is from RNAcentral.
AUUGAACGCUGGCGGCAGGCCUAACACAUGCAAGUCGAGCGGAUGAGGGGUGCUUGCACUCCGAUUCAGCGGCGGACGGGUGAGUAAUGCCUAGGAAUCUGCCUGGUAGUGGGGGAUAACGUUCGGAAACGGACGCUAAUACCGCAUACGUCCUACGGGAGAAAGCAGGGGACCUUCGGGCCUUGCGCUAUCAGAUGAGCCUAGGUCGGAUUAGCUAGUUGGCGGGGUAAAGGCCCACCAAGGCGACGAUCCGUAACUGGUCUGAGAGGAUGAUCAGUCACACUGGAACUGAGACACGGUCCAGACUCCUACGGGUGGCUG